This 483-nucleotide ribosomal RNA is filed under the name uncultured bacterium. RNAcentral's name for it is "bacterial SSU rRNA". It matches the Rfam family "Bacterial small subunit ribosomal RNA", at positions 29 to 504 of the family's 1533-position model. The record is from RNAcentral.
AUUGAACGCUGGCGGCUACGCCGUGUACACAUGCAAGUCGAACGGCAGCACGGGGGCAACCCUGGUGGCGAGUGGCGAACGGGUGAGUAAUAUUUCGGAACGUGUCCUGUAGUGGGGGAUAGCCCGGCGAAAGCCGGAUUAAUACCGCAUACGCUCUACGGAGGAAAGGGGGGGAUCUUAGGACCUCCCGCUACAGGGGCGGCCGAUGGCAGAUUAGCUAGUUGGUGGGGUAAAGGCCUACCAAGGCGACGAUCUGUAGCUGUCUGAGAGGACGACCAGCCACACUGGGACUGAGACACGGCCCAGACUCCUACGGGAGGCAGCAGUGGGGAAUUUUGGACAAUGGGGGCAACCCUGAUCCAGCAAUGCCGCGUGUGUGAAGAAGGCCUUCGGGUUGUAAAGCACUUUUGUCCGGAAAGAAAACGCCGUGGUUAAUACCCGUGGCGGAUGACGGUACCGGAAGAAUAAGCACCGGCUAACUAC